RNAcentral lists this ribosomal RNA (468 nucleotides) under uncultured bacterium. RNAcentral's name for it is "partial 16S ribosomal RNA". It matches the Rfam family "Bacterial small subunit ribosomal RNA", at positions 28 to 507 of the family's 1533-position model. The record is from RNAcentral.
GACGAACGCUGGCGGCGUGCUUAACACAUGCAAGUCGAACGGAAAGGCCCUGCUUUUGUGGGGUGCUCGAGUGGCGAACGGGUGAGUAACACGUGAGUAACCUGCCCUUGACUUUGGGAUAACUUCAGGAAACUGGGGCUAAUACCGGAUUGGAGCUCCUGCUGCAUGGUGGGGGUUGGAAAGUUUCGGCGGUUGGGGAUGGACGCGCGGGUUAUCAGCUUGUUGGUGGGGUAGUGGAUUACCAAGGCUUUGACGGGUAGCCGGCCUGAGAGGGUGACCGGCGUCAUUGGAACUGAUAUACGGCCCAGACCCCUUAGGGGGGCAGAAGUAGGGAAUAUGCCACAGUGGGCGGAAGUGUGAUGCAGCAACCUCGUGUGGGGAAUGCCGGAUUUUUGGUUGUAAACCGCAUUCCCGUGUCACGUAGCGUGCGUGACGGUAUUGGGUAAAGAAGCAACGACUCACUACGUG